This 1940-nucleotide long non-coding RNA is filed under the name Homo sapiens (human). RNAcentral's name for it is "HSALNT0064280". The record is from RNAcentral. Lineage: Eukaryota; Metazoa; Chordata; Mammalia; Primates; Hominidae.
GCCUGUAAUCUCAGCUACUCAGGAAGGUGAGACACAAGAAUGGCUUGAAUCCAGGAGGCAGAGGUUGCAGUGAGCUGAGAUAGGGCCCCUGCACUCCAGCCUGGGCAAUAAAGUGAGACUUUGUCUAAAAAAAAAAGAAAGAAAGAAAAAAGAAAAAGAAGAAUCUACCCAGUUGUUUUCCAAAGUGGUUGUAUCAUUUUACAUUCCCAUCUGUGUACAAGAGUUUGGAAUUCCUCACACCCUCCACUAACUUGAAAUUGGAAGCUGGGCACAGUGGCCCACACCUGCAAUCCCAGCACUUUGGGAGGCCAAGAAUGGAGGAUUGUUUGAGCCCGAGUUUCCAAUACCAGCCUGGGCAACAUAGCAAGGCCCCCACUCUACUAAAUAAAUGAUAAAUUAGAGAUGGUGUUUGCCAGCCUAAUGAAGAUUAAAUCAACUCCAGCCUGGGAAUAUGAUCUAUGCACAAAGAAAUAAUUGGAUCCUCCUGUCUAGAAGACUGACCAAAGAAAGAAGCAACAAGAUAGUCUAAAACUCAGAAAGAAUCUGAAAAUGAGAAAUCUUGCAACACUGAAGGUCAUGAAGCCCAAACCUUCAUCUCACACAAGUGAAAACUGAGGCCCAAAGCGAUAAAAAUGACUUGCUCAAAUACACGGCAACAGAAUGACAGAGCCAGAACAGGAAGCCUUGGGUCAAGAACUCUAUCAACAGCUGACCUGUUGUUAGAGCCAGAGGGCCCUGCCCCUUUCAUGGAGAACAACUCCUGAACUCUAUACAUGUUCUUCCAGGAUUCCUAUUUGUAUUUGAAAAAAGAAAAAAGGCUAAUAAAGUUAUUUAUUGCCUAUCUUUUGGGGCCUUUUAAAUAGAUGUCAAUGGGACGGCAAGAUAAUUUAAAUAUUUAAAAGAUUUUUGAAAUUCCUGAUCAACUUCUUGUCAGAUGGCACAAAUGCAAAAGCCUAUUUUUCACAAGACCCAGUCUCUUGUAUCAUCAAUCUAACCAAAGACAACUGCCAAACUAAUCUUCCUAAAACACUUUUAAUCAUGUCACUCUCUUACGCACAAACAUCUGGUAGCUCCCCUUUGCCUACCAAAUUAAAAUCCUCACACUGGCAUUCAACGCCCUUCACAAUAUGUCCCAAUCAAUCUUUCCUUCCUGGUACUUAUUACCUGUUCCCCAGCUCAACUGCAGCCACGUGAUGGUCACAAACCUUGUUCUUUCCCAUCUCAAUGCUUCUCUUUGCCCAUGCUAUUCUCUCUUGUUGGUACACAUUCUCUCCUUCCAUAGUGACCUGUCAAAAAGUCUAUAUUAUUCAAGGCUAUCUUAACUCUCAUUAUUUUCUGAUUGUUCACUUUAACCUCAUCCAAAACACAUUCACAAUUAGAUAUUACUCCUCCUCCCUUUUAACUCUCCAACAAUCUGUUUUUUUUUUUCACAAAAAUAAUCACAUUUCCCCAUUUUUACACUAUGUAUGCACCUGUCCUAACUUCUUUUCCAAUCAGACUGAACUCCUUGACACAGUCAGUGGGUCCCACUGCUAUAAGCAUCCAACUAGUAUUGUUGACUUGCAUGCCAAAGGGCUUUAUGGACAGAAUACAUGAGAAUGACUUAACCUUCACCGAGGUUUAUGUAGAGGCCAUUUUAGAGGCAGAAUGGGUCUAAAUACUAUAUGUUGCUGUCGAAUGAUUAUGAAAAAAAACACGGUGCUGGCUCUUUGUGGUUUCAUAGCCUAGUUCUUCAUUCAGCUGAAGUUCCCUGGGACUCAACACUCCCUUGAGGGUAUAGAAUGCAUUUAGAAGCUCUGUUAACGAUUUCUGAAGAAUUUAUUUGCUAAAUGAUCUGGAAGGCUAUGUGCAGCUUCCCCAAGGCCUACAUUUGUUAUUGAGCAGGAAGUAUGGCAACUUGUGUUUAGUAAUUGGGUCAGUUAGUAAUUUUGUUCUUUCGG